Molecule: ribosomal RNA, 468 nt
Filed under: uncultured bacterium
Lineage: Bacteria
Description: partial 16S ribosomal RNA
Rfam family: Bacterial small subunit ribosomal RNA
Source: RNAcentral
GACGAACGCUGGCGGCGUGCUUAACACAUGCAAGUCGAACGGAAAGGCCCUGCUUUUGUGGGGUGCUCGAGUGGCGAACGGGUGAGUAACACGUGAGUAACCUGCCCCUGACUUUGGGAUAACUUCAGGAAACUGGGGCUAAUACCCGAUAGGAGCUCCUGCUGCAUGGUGGGGGUUGGAAAGUUUCGGCGGUUGGGGAUGGACUCGCGGCUUAUCAGCUUGUUGGUGGGGUAGUGGCUUACCAAGGCUUUGACGGGUAGCCGGCCUGAGAGGGUGACCGGCCACAUUGGGACUGAGAUACGGCCCAGACUCCUACGGGAGGCAGCAGUGGGGAAUAUUGCACAAUGGGCGGAAGCCUGAUGCAGCAACGCCGCGUGCGGGAUGACGGCCUUCGGGUUGUAAACCGCUUUCGCCUGUGACGAAGCGUGAGUGACGGUAAUGGGUAAAGAAGCACCGGCUAACUACGUG